Molecule: non-coding RNA, 223 nt
Organism: Caenorhabditis elegans
Lineage: Eukaryota; Metazoa; Nematoda; Chromadorea; Rhabditida; Rhabditidae
Source: Ensembl
AAGGCCAGCUUCUGGAAGUCAAUGUUUAUUUGAUAAUUGUCUUAUUUUGUCCAAUUAUCCGCGUUAUGUCGUUGAUUUAGGCUCAUUUUAAGCCGCUAAGUAGCCAAGUUCGGCUUAAAAUGUAUCUAAAUCGACGAAAAGGGGACAAAAAGCAAAAUAAGACAAUCAAGAAGUAAAAGUCAAUUUUCAAUAGCUGGAAAAGAUAAAAUUGGAGAUUUACGCU